RNAcentral lists this ribosomal RNA (254 nucleotides) under uncultured bacterium. RNAcentral's name for it is "partial 16S ribosomal RNA". It matches the Rfam family "Bacterial small subunit ribosomal RNA", at positions 524 to 776 of the family's 1533-position model. The record is from RNAcentral.
UACGUAGGAGGCGAGCGUUGUCCGGAGUUACUGGGCGUAAAGGGUGCGCAGGCGGCGGUUCGCGUGGCGAGAUGAAAUCUCCUGGCUUACCUGGGAGGGUGGUCGCCAGACGGGAUCGCUUGAGGGUCGGAGAGGGGCGUGGAAUUCCGGGUGGAGCGGUGAAAUGCGUAGAGAUCCGGAGGAACACCGGUGGCGAAGGCGGCAUCCUGGACCGGCACUGACACUGAGGAGCGAAAGCCAGGGGAGCAAACGGG